AGAGUUUGAUCCUGGCUCAGAUUGAACGCUGGCGGCAUGCCUUACACAUGCAAGUCGAACGGCAGCACGGGGGCAACCCUGGUGGCGAGUGGCGAACGGGUGAGUAAUACAUCGGAACGUGUCCUGUAGUGGGGGAUAGCCCGGCGAAAGCCGGAUUAAUACCGCAUACGCUCUACGGAGGAAAGGGGGGGAUCUUAGGACCUCUCGCUACAGGGGCGGCCGAUGGCAGAUUAGCUAGUUGGUGGGGUAAAGGCCUACCAAGGCGACGAUCUGUAGCUGGUCUGAGAGGACGACCAGCCACACUGGGACUGAGACACGGCCCAGACUCCUACGGGAGGCAGCAGUGGGGAAUUUUGGACAAUGGGGGCAACCCUGAUCCAGCAAUGCCGCGUGUGUGAAGAAGGCCUUCGGGUUGUAAAACACUUUUGUCCGGAAAGAAA
RNAcentral lists this ribosomal RNA (440 nucleotides) under uncultured bacterium. RNAcentral's name for it is "bacterial SSU rRNA". It matches the Rfam family "Bacterial small subunit ribosomal RNA", at positions 8 to 450 of the family's 1533-position model. The record is from RNAcentral.